RNAcentral lists this long non-coding RNA (207 nucleotides) under Mytilus galloprovincialis (Mediterranean mussel). Lineage: Eukaryota; Metazoa; Mollusca; Bivalvia; Mytilida; Mytilidae. The record is from RNAcentral.
CCUGGGUUGAAUUGAAGUUUGGUUCAUUUUGUUCUCUCUUUUUCUAUUAAGAUAGGUUUUCAGCGUUUGAAUAGGUUUUGUGCUUUCCAAUAGGUUUUACUUAAUUGUCGUAACACGCAGCAAUAAAAUAGGUACCGUUAAUGUUAUUACUCACGUAUAAAUAUCAGUCUUUUAAAGUCCAAUAAGUGUGAGUCUCCUAUUUUAUCG